Molecule: ribosomal RNA, 744 nt
Filed under: uncultured bacterium
Lineage: Bacteria
Description: bacterial SSU rRNA
Rfam family: Bacterial small subunit ribosomal RNA
Source: RNAcentral
AGAGUUUGAUCAUGGCUCAGAGCGAACGCUGGCGGCAGGCUUAACACAUGCAAGUCGAGCGGGCGUAGCAAUACGUCAGCGGCAGACGGGUGAGUAACGCGUGGGAACGUACCUUUUGGUUCGGAACAACACAGGGAAACUUGUGCUAAUACCGGAUAAGCCCUUACGGGGAAAGAUUUAUCGCCGAAAGAUCGGCCCGCGUCUGAUUAGCUAGUUGGUGUGGUAACGGCGCACCAAGGCGACGAUCAGUAGCUGGUCUGAGAGGAUGAUCAGCCACAUUGGGACUGAGACACGGCCCAAACUCCUACGGGAGGCAGCAGUGGGGAAUAUUGGACAAUGGGCGCAAGCCUGAUCCAGCCAUGCCGCGUGAGUGAUGAAGGCCCUAGGGUUGUAAAGCUCUUUUGUGCGGGAAGAUAAUGACGGUACCGCAAGAAUAAGCCCCGGCUAACUUCGUGCCAGCAGCCGCGGUAAUACGAAGGGGGCUAGCGUUGCUCGGAAUCACUGGGCGUAAAGGGUGCGUAGGCGGGUCUUUAAGUCAGGGGUGAAAUCCUGGAGCUCAACUCCAGAACUGCCUUUGAUACUGAGGAUCUUGAGUUCGGGAGAGGUGAGUGGAACUGCGAGUGUAGAGGUGAAAUUCGUAGAUAUUCGCAAGAACACCAGUGGCGAAGGCGGCUCACUGGCCCGAUACUGACGCUGAGGCACGAAAGCGUGGGGAGCAAACAGGAUUAGAUACCCCCGUAGUCC